UACGGGGGGGGCAAGCGUUGUUCGGAAUUAUUGGGCGUAAAGAGCUCGUAGGCGGUCUGUCGCGUCUGCUGUGAAAUCCCGAGGCUCAACCUCGGGCUUGCAGUGGGUACGGGCAGGCUAGAGUGCGGUAGGGGAGAAUGGAACUCCUGGUGUAGCGGUGGAAUGCGCAGAUAUCAGGAAGAACACCGAUGGCGAAGGCAGUUCUCUGGGCCGUAACUGACGCUGAGGAGCGAAAGCGUGGGGAGCGAACAGG
This 253-nucleotide ribosomal RNA is filed under the name uncultured bacterium. Its description in RNAcentral is "partial 16S ribosomal RNA". It matches the Rfam family "Bacterial small subunit ribosomal RNA", at positions 524 to 776 of the family's 1533-position model. The record is from RNAcentral.